Molecule: ribosomal RNA, 491 nt
Filed under: uncultured bacterium
Lineage: Bacteria
Description: partial 16S ribosomal RNA
Rfam family: Bacterial small subunit ribosomal RNA
Source: RNAcentral
AGUGAACGCUGGCGGUAGGCCUAACACAUGCAAGUCGAACGGCAGCACAGUAAGAGCUUGCUCUUACGGGUGGCGAGUGGCGGACGGGUGAGGAAUACAGCGGAAUCUACUUUUUCGUGGGGGGUGACGUAGGGAAACUUACGCUAAUACCGCAUACGACCUACGGGUGAAAGCAGGGGAUCUUCGGACCUUGCGCGAUUGAAUGAGCCGAUGUGGGAUUAGCUAGUUGGCGGGGUAAAGGCCUACCUAGGCGCUGAUCCGUAGCUGGUCUGCGGGGAUGAGCGGCACCCCGGAACUGAGACACAGUGCCGACAUCGUCACUGAGGCACCGCGGGGAAUACUAGGGGAUGGGGCCAAGGCCAAUCCAGCCCAAUCGGGGAGGUCCAGAAGGCCCUUGGGUUGUAAAGCCCUUUUGUUGGGAAAGAAAAGCAGCAGGUUAAUACCCCGCUGUUCUGACGGUACCCAAAGAAUAAGCACCGGCUAACUUCGUG